RNAcentral lists this long non-coding RNA (695 nucleotides) under Gallus gallus (chicken). The record is from RNAcentral. Lineage: Eukaryota; Metazoa; Chordata; Aves; Galliformes; Phasianidae.
AGUUAAUCUAGAGCAUAAACUACUUUUCCAUCUAACUGAUAACAGCAACCUGGGCCAAAACAACUAUUAGACAGUCCUUGACUAAGGUCCAUAAGGCAUGUCCCUAGAGGUAUUCUCUAAAAACAUAACAGAAACUCUCUGUACUCUUCAAUUUAAGACUCAAGAAGCUAAUGUUUAUGGCUCUUAGUUGUCUCGUCUUCUGCCAGCAAAGUUGAAUUUCUCACUUGGAAGGGGAAGAAAUGCAGCAGGGGUACCAUUUUCUCUAAAUUGAGAUUUGAGACGGAUUAAGUGAGCUACUCAAUAGCUGUCUUGGUAACAGACUGUACUUUCUUUUAGUCCUUGCUUAUCAGGUCUACACAGCAGGGCAGUUUGAUUGCUGACUGACUGUUGACUGCUUGUUUCGGAUGAAAUUGAAACGUCCAUGAAAAGGAGAAAUAAGUUGAGUUUACCUGUCAUCACAGUAGGUGAAUUUCAUGUCCAUGCUAUGGCGACUCAUGAAGGUCUUGCUGUCCAGAGGGAUAUCAAUGUUUGAAGGAUGCUGAAUAGGCUCACACAUUAUUAUAAGGCAGGUGAGAAGAGGCUCUUUAUACCCACACAAAGUGUGAGGAGGGCAAGUGUUGUACACUUUAACUUGUCCAGUGCAGUGCAAAACCUUCCAUGUGGCAGAUUUGAGGUUAACAGUUCUGCCUCUGUUG